UACGGGGGGAGCAAGCGUUGUUCGGAUUUACUGGGCGUAAAGGGCGCGUAGGCGGUCGUGACAAGUCACUUGUGAAAUCUCCGGGCUUAACUCGGAACGUCAAGUGAUACUGUCGGACUAGAGUACAGAAGGGGCACUGGAAUUCUCGGUGUAGCGGUGAAAUGCGCAGAUAUCAGGAGGAACACCGGUGGCGAAGGCGGGUCUCUGGG
This 209-nucleotide ribosomal RNA is filed under the name uncultured bacterium. RNAcentral describes it as "partial 16S ribosomal RNA". It matches the Rfam family "Bacterial small subunit ribosomal RNA", at positions 524 to 733 of the family's 1533-position model. The record is from RNAcentral.